ACGCUCGACACCUACGGGAGGCAGCAGUAGGGAAUCUUCCACAAUGGACGCAAGUCUGAUGGAGCAACGCCGCGUGAGUGAAGAAGGUCUUCGGAUCGUAAAACCCUGUUGUUAGAGAAGAACACGAGUGAGAGUAACUGUUCAUUCGAUGACGGUAUCUAACCAGCAAGUCACGGCUAACUACGUGCCGGCAGCCGCGGUAAUCUGAGCGGGCUGGCAAGGC
This 223-nucleotide ribosomal RNA is filed under the name uncultured bacterium. Its description in RNAcentral is "partial 16S ribosomal RNA". It matches the Rfam family "Bacterial small subunit ribosomal RNA", at positions 328 to 539 of the family's 1533-position model. The record is from RNAcentral.